GACGAACGCUGGCGGCGUGCUUAACACAUGCAAGUCGAACGGAAAGGCCCUGCUUUUGUGGGGUGCUCGAGUGGCGAACGGGUGAGUAACACGUGAGUAACCUGCCCUUGACUUUGGGAUAACUUCAGGAAACUGGGGCUAAUACCGGAUAGGAGCUCCUGCUGCAUGGUGGGGGUUGGAAAGUUUCGGCGGUUGGGGAUGGACUCGCGGCUUAUCAGCUUGUUGGUGGGGUAGUGGCUUACCAAGGCUUUGACGGGUAGCCGGCCUGAGAGGGUGACCGGCCACAAUGGGACUGAGAUACGGCCCAGACUCCUACGGGAGGCAGGAGUGGGGAAUAUUGCACAAUGGGCGGAAGCCUGAUGCAACAACGCCGCGUGCGGGAUGACGGCCUUCGGGUUGUAAACCGCUUUCGCCUGUGACGAAGCGUGAGUGACGGUAAUGGGUAAAGAAGCACCGGCUAACUACGGG
This 468-nucleotide ribosomal RNA is filed under the name uncultured bacterium. RNAcentral describes it as "partial 16S ribosomal RNA". It matches the Rfam family "Bacterial small subunit ribosomal RNA", at positions 28 to 507 of the family's 1533-position model. The record is from RNAcentral.